RNAcentral lists this unclassified non-coding RNA (18 nucleotides) under Chlamydomonas reinhardtii. RNAcentral describes it as "small RNA Cre_1350". Lineage: Eukaryota; Viridiplantae; Chlorophyta; Chlorophyceae; Chlamydomonadales; Chlamydomonadaceae. The record is from RNAcentral.
CGGUCGUGAUGGCGGCGG